RNAcentral lists this ribosomal RNA (446 nucleotides) under uncultured bacterium. RNAcentral describes it as "partial 16S ribosomal RNA". It matches the Rfam family "Bacterial small subunit ribosomal RNA", at positions 338 to 795 of the family's 1533-position model. The record is from RNAcentral.
CCUACGGGCGGCAGCAGUCGAGAAUCAUUCACAAUGGGGGAAACCCUGAUGGUGCGACGCCGCGUGGGGGAAUGAAGGUCUUCGGAUUGUAAACCCCUGUCAUGUGGGAGCAAAUUAAAAAGAUAGUACCACAAGAGGAAGAGACUGCUAACUCUGUGCCAGCAGCCGCGGUAAUACAGAGGUCUCAAGCGUUGUUCGGAAUCACUGGGCGUAAAGCGUGCGUAGGCUGUUUCGUAAGUCGUGUGUGAAAGGCGCGGGCUCAACCCGCGGACGGCACAUGAUACUGCGAGACUAGAGUAAUGGAGGGGGAAGCGGAAUGCUCGGUGUAGCAGUGAAAUGCGGAGAUAUCGAGAGGAACACUCGUGGCGAAGGCGGGUUCCUGGACAUUAACUGACGCUGAGGCACGAAGGCCAGGGGAGCGAAAGGGAUUAGAUACCCGUGUAGUC